UGGGGAAUAUUGCACAAUGGGGGAAACCCUGAUGCAGCGACGCCGCGUGAGCGAUGAAGGCUUUCGAGUCGUAAAGCUCUGUCCUAUGGGAAGAUAAUGACGGUACCAUAGAAGAAAGCCCCGGCUAAUUACGUGCCAGCAGCCGCGGUAAUACGUAAGGGGCGAGCGUUGUCCGGAAUUAUUGGGCGUAAAGCGCGCGCAGGUGGUUUAGAAAGUCUGAUGUGAAAGCCCACGGCUCAACCGUGGAGGGUCAUUGGAAACUAAUAAACUUGAGUGCAGGAGAGGAAAGUGGAAUUCCUAGUGUAGCGGUGAAAUGCGUAGAGAUUAGGAGGAACACCGGUGGCGAAAGCGGCUUUUUGGCCUGCAACUGACACUGAGGCGCGAAAGCGUGGGGAGCAAACAGG
RNAcentral lists this ribosomal RNA (404 nucleotides) under Verrucomicrobiota bacterium. RNAcentral describes it as "Verrucomicrobia bacterium partial 16S ribosomal RNA". It matches the Rfam family "Bacterial small subunit ribosomal RNA", at positions 355 to 776 of the family's 1533-position model. The record is from RNAcentral. Lineage: Bacteria; Pseudomonadati; Verrucomicrobiota.